GAUGAAGAACGCAGCGAAAUGCGAUACGUAAUGUUAAUUGCAAAUUCAGUGAAUCAUCGAGUCUUUGAACGCACAUUGCGCCCCCUGGUAUUCCGGGGGGCAUGCCUGUCCGAGCGUCAUUGCUGCCCUCAAGCACGGCUUGUGUGUUGGGCCCCGUCCUCCGAUCCCGGGGGACGGGCCCGAAAGGCAGCGGCGGCACCGCGUCCGGUCCUCGAGCGUAUGGGGCUUUGUCACCCGCUCUGUAGGCCCGGCCGGCGCUUGCCGAUCAACCCAAAUUUUUAUCCAGGUUGACCUCGGAUCAGGUAGGGAUACCCGCUGAACUUAAGCAUAUCAAUAAGCGGAGGA
RNAcentral lists this unclassified non-coding RNA (345 nucleotides) under soil metagenome. Its description in RNAcentral is "partial contains 5.8S ribosomal RNA, internal transcribed spacer 2, and large subunit ribosomal RNA". The stretch from base 1 to 119 matches the Rfam family "5.8S ribosomal RNA", at positions 35 to 154 of the family's 154-position model. The record is from RNAcentral.